UUCUUAUCAAGAAAGACCGAGGGACAGGGCCCGAUGACGUCUUAGCAACCUUGUACCAGCUUGGUGCUAAUUCCCUUCUCAGCCAUAUCUUGGCUGGGAAAAGAUAAGAG
Molecule: non-coding RNA, 110 nt
Filed under: Pontibacter lucknowensis
Lineage: Bacteria; Pseudomonadati; Bacteroidota; Cytophagia; Cytophagales; Hymenobacteraceae
Also listed under: 1 other name
Description: Pontibacter sp. DM9 SAM riboswitch aptamer (S box leader)
Rfam family: SAM riboswitch aptamer (S box leader)
About the family: The SAM riboswitch is found upstream of a number of genes which code for proteins involved in methionine or cysteine biosynthesis in Gram-positive bacteria. The SAM riboswitch acts at the level of transcription termination control. The predicted structure consists of a complex stem-loop region followed by a single stem loop terminator region.
Source: Rfam by way of RNAcentral